UACGGAGGAUCCAAGCGUUAUCCGGAAUCAUUGGGUUUAAAGGGUCCGUAGGCGGUUUGGUAAGUCAGUGGUGAAAGCCCAUCGCUCAACGGUGGAACGGCCAUUGAUACUGCCAGACUUGAAUUAUUAGGAAGUAACUAGAAUAUGUAGUGUAGCGGUGAAAUGCUUUAGAGAUUACAUGGAAUACCAAUUGCGAAGGCAGGUUACUACUAAUGGAUUUGACGCUGAUGGACGAAGCGUGGUAGCGAACAGG
Molecule: ribosomal RNA, 253 nt
Filed under: uncultured bacterium
Lineage: Bacteria
Description: partial 16S ribosomal RNA
Rfam family: Bacterial small subunit ribosomal RNA
Source: RNAcentral